Long non-coding RNA from Peromyscus maniculatus bairdii (prairie deer mouse), 1732 nucleotides. RefSeq lists it as uncharacterized. The record is from RefSeq and is a predicted model, not a curated record. NCBI's taxonomy places the organism in Eukaryota, Metazoa, Chordata, Mammalia, Rodentia, Cricetidae.
GUCAGAGGAUAUGCCAGCAGAUGCAGAGGAAGCAGGAGAUAAACAUGCCAUGCUGAAAGAAGGAUAGAAGAUUCUGGAAAGCAACUUGGAAUGAAGCCGUUUAUGUGAGGACAGUUUCCUGGGUGGCCUUGGACUGAGCCAAUCCCCUGGCUUUCCUGCUUGUAUUUGUCAAAAUAACAAGAAUGUCUAGUGACCAAGACAUCCUGAGAUAAGGAAGAGCUGGCUGAGACUCUGUACUCUGUCCCUGUCCCACGCAGGGACAGGCUGCCUUACCACAACUACAUGCAGCCUGUUACAUUGUCCCAAGGAUCUGGGAGCUGAGAGGGCCAAUUUCUGGGGCUCCUCAACUGCACUACUGAAGUCCCUGAGCGGGAGAGCACGCAUACAAGGCCUGAAACCACAGCCUGAGUGAAGGCUGGUGAGACGCUGAGAUGGGCAGAGCCCUUGCCUCAUAGCUUCUUCCUGGAGAUGCCUGGCUCCAUCUCUACCCUCCCACCCCUUGGGAACUCAGGACACAAAGCCUGUGCAUUCAAGCCCUAUCUACGCUUCCACUAACAGUAUCAUUUUGCUUUAUUGAGUGCCAUCUGCCCAAGUAAAGGAGGACUAACAUCGUGCAUAAGUUUAGACUGGUCUGGACCUUUGAGGCUGGUGGGUGUUUAUGUGUAUGUCUGCUCUUCUCUCGACACACGAGGUUCCGGAGGACUUGCAGCGCUACACAGGGGUUGGAUGGAACUUGCGCCCCAUCUCAAGUUAAGUCGAGUCUUGGGCCGGUGGAGAGCCCGGCCUGUGUGUUCGCAGCUUUCCAGUAGGGGGCGCCCACGCUCCGCGGAGAGGCCGCCGUGGGCGGAGAGGCCCCGCUUAGGCUGGCUGAGACUACCAUUCCUCUGUUCAGAAAAAGAAAGUGAGAUUGUGAAAGGAGAUUGCUUAAUCUUUUAAAAUCCCGGCUCCAUAACACCAAGCCUCUCUUUAGAGUUCAUGAGCACGAGAGGGGUUGCUUUCCCGCAGCUGAGCUGCCUAGAGCCACUCAGAGGCAAGGACUUGGACUCAGUGACUUUUGUCCCUUCAGACAUCCGAAGCUGCCAGGAAGUGUGUGAGCCAAGGUACUGGGCAAGGCCGAAGUUUCAAACCCUCCAUCUGUCCCCACCCCCAUCCUCUUGGCAUUCUGGGAAACAGAAACCUCCUCCUCCUUUCCUGCCUUUCCACUUUCCUGCCUUUCCUCUCUCAGCCCAGAGGCUUCAGAGAUGGCUGGGUGCAUCAGAGGACUCCCUGUAUACUAUCCAAUCACACCACAUCUAGGUCCUGCCCAUUCCCGGAUUUGUGUAUCUGGACAGCCGGACAGUGGGACAGUGAUCUGAGCCAAAGGUGGGGUCUUCCUUCCUUGGCAGCCUGACUCUCAGGAUGUGUCCGGCCGUCAGACACUGCUCUACUCUUUGGGCCCUCACUGUGGGCCAGGCCUUCUGCUGCUUGCUGGGAGUGAGGCAGGAAAUAGGGAAGCCAGGCUUUGUCCCAGGGACUGUGCUUUCCGGGGAGAGGGGGAUGGUCUAACUAGUAAGCACCCCAACAGUUACAGGUGGAGAGGACAGAAGCCACAAGAGCCUUGGGUGAAGAAUAACCCAGAACUAGACAUCUGCACUCCCAGUGUGUGGGAAGCUGGGACUGAAAAAUCACAAGUCUGAGGCCAGCCUGGGCUAUAUAGAAAGAUCUUGUCUUAAAAAUGAAUUGAAUUGAUCGA